This 97-nucleotide microRNA precursor is filed under the name Canis lupus familiaris (dog). Its description in RNAcentral is "mir-544 microRNA precursor family". It matches the Rfam family "mir-544 microRNA precursor family". RNAcentral also lists the same sequence under 1 other name. The record is from Rfam by way of RNAcentral. Lineage: Eukaryota; Metazoa; Chordata; Mammalia; Carnivora; Canidae.
ACUACCUGGGGAUCUUGUUAAAAUGCAGAUUCCAAUUCAGGAGGUCUGGAGUGUGGCCUGAAGUCUGCAUUUCUAGCAAGAUCCCAGGUGAUGUCGA